GCAAGCAAAUCAAAACAAUUUUCACUCACUCUCUCCCCCCUGUCCCAUGUUCCCCUCACUCUCUCAUCUCUCUCUCUAAAUUCCUCCAUUGAUCACCAUUAGAGAAGACCUUGAAAGCUUCAUAAAUCUCUUCUAUGAUAUUAUUCCCCAUUGAAAUCAACCCCUAAACACUCUAUAUACUUGAAUUCAAGAAGAUUGGUAGAGAUUGAGCUUGGAGUUUAGAGAGAAGAAAUUUUCAUUUCUCUCAAAAUCUUUGAGAUUUUGUUACCCAAAAGUCUUGAAGAUUUUAUGGCCUAAUCGGAAUCGCCCCGUGGUCAAUGGUUCCGGCCCGGAUCGUUGACCACGGGCCGGUUCCAAAACCGGAACCGCCAAUAGCCUCAAGUUGGUUAAGAUUCCAAAAUUCUUGACCCGCGACCCGGCGGUUCGGCCCGAAAACCGACGGGCUUGGCGCGCCAGGGCUAGGAGGCACCUUUUGAGGGCUCCGAGGUAGAAAUCGCCGGUUUUGGGCGGUUAACCGACGGUUUCGGUCAAAAUUUAAUUUAUUUUUUUUCAUAUUCAAAUUCAGAUUUAUCCCAUCCAAUUUUAUCUAUAAAUACCCCCCUUCUUCCACCUUCAAAACCAUCCCAUGGUGUUAACAAUUCUACACGAAAGAUAUAGUGUCUUAUUCAUUUCAUUGUA
Molecule: long non-coding RNA, 678 nt
Organism: Salvia miltiorrhiza (redroot sage)
Lineage: Eukaryota; Viridiplantae; Streptophyta; Magnoliopsida; Lamiales; Lamiaceae
Exons: 3
Source: RefSeq, a predicted model, not a curated record